GCGGAUGUGGCGGAAUUGGUAGACGCGCCAGAUUUAGGUUCUGGUGCCGCAAGGCGUGAAGGUUCAAGUCCUUUCAUCCGCA
This 82-nucleotide transfer RNA is filed under the name Synechococcales cyanobacterium RM1_1_8. RNAcentral's name for it is "tRNA-Leu". It matches the Rfam family "tRNA". Rfam says of the family: Transfer RNA (tRNA) molecules are approximately 80 nucleotides in length. Lineage: Bacteria; Bacillati; Cyanobacteriota; Cyanophyceae; Synechococcales. The record is from RNAcentral.